RNAcentral lists this unclassified non-coding RNA (89 nucleotides) under Pseudomonas kilonensis. The record is from RNAcentral. Lineage: Bacteria; Pseudomonadati; Pseudomonadota; Gammaproteobacteria; Pseudomonadales; Pseudomonadaceae.
UGUGGGAGCGGGCUUGCUCGCGAAAGCGAUUUGUCAGUCACAUUAAUGUUGAAUGUGCCGACCUAUUCGCGAGCAAGCCCGCUCCCACA